GGGGGCUGGACCUCUCGGGGUUACAGCCUUGCUGAAUUAUUCACCCUUGUCUUUUGCGUACUUCUUGUUUCCUUGGUGGGUUCGCCCACCACUAGGACAAACAUAAACCUUUUGUAAUUGCAAUCAGCGUCAGUAACAAAUUAAUAAUUACAACUUUCAACAACGGAUCUCUUGGUUCUGGCAUCGAUGAAGAACGCAGCGAAAUGCGAUAAGUAGUGUGAAUUGCAGAAUUCAGUGAAUCAUCGAAUCUUUGAACGCACAUUGCGCCCUUUGGUAUUCCAAAGGGCAUGCCUGUUCGAGCGUCAUUUGUACCCUCAAGCUUUGCUUGGUGUUGGGCGUCUUGUCUCUAGCUUUGCUGGAGACUCGCCUUAAAGUAAUUGGCAGCCGGCCUACUGGUUUCGGAGCGCAGCACAAGUCGCACUCUCUAUCAGCAAAGGUCUAGCAUCCAUUAAGCCUUUUUUUCAACUUUUGACCUCGGAUCAGGUAGGGAUACCCGCUGAACUUAAGCAUAUCAAUAAGCGGAGGAAAAA
Molecule: ribosomal RNA, 530 nt
Filed under: Alternaria alternata
Lineage: Eukaryota; Fungi; Ascomycota; Dothideomycetes; Pleosporales; Pleosporaceae
Description: eukaryotic LSU rRNA
Rfam family: 5.8S ribosomal RNA (bases 152-305)
Source: RNAcentral